Molecule: ribosomal RNA, 468 nt
Filed under: uncultured bacterium
Lineage: Bacteria
Description: partial 16S ribosomal RNA
Rfam family: Bacterial small subunit ribosomal RNA
Source: RNAcentral
GACGAACGCUGGCGGCGUGCUUAACACAUGCAAGUCGAACGGAAAGGCCCUGCUUUUGUGGGGUGCUCGAGUGGCGAACGGGCGAGUAACACGUGAGUAACCUGCCCUUGACUUUGGGAUAACUUCAGGAAACUGGGGCUAAUACCGGAUAGGAGCUCCUGCUGCAUGGUGGGGGUUGGAAAGUUUCGGCGGUUGGGGAUGGACUCGCGGCUUAUCAGCUUGUUGGAGGGGUAGUGGCUUACCAAGGCUUUGACGGGUAGCCGGUCUGAGAGGGUGACCGGCCACAUUGGGACUGAGAUACGGCCCAGACUCCUACGGGAGGCAGCAGUGGGGAAUAUUGCACAAUGGGCGGAAGCCUGAUGCAGCAACGCCGCGUGCGGGAUGACGGCCUUCGGGUUGUAAACCGCUUUCGCCUGUGACGAAGCGUGAGUGACGGUAAUGGGUAAAGAAGCACCGGCUAACUACGUG